RNAcentral lists this ribosomal RNA (495 nucleotides) under uncultured bacterium. RNAcentral describes it as "partial 16S ribosomal RNA". It matches the Rfam family "Bacterial small subunit ribosomal RNA", at positions 28 to 523 of the family's 1533-position model. The record is from RNAcentral.
GAUGAACGCUAGCGGGAGGCCCAACACAUGCAAGCCGAGCGGUAUUUCUUCUUCGGGAGAGAGAGAGCGGCGUACGGGUGCGGAACACGUGUGCAACCUGCCUUUAUCUAGAGGAUAGCCUUUCGAAAGGAAGAUUAAUACUCUAUAAUAUAUUAAUUGGCAUCAAUUGAUAUUGAAAACUCCGGUGGAUAGAGAUGGGCACGCGCAAGAUUAGCUAGUUGGUGAGGUAACGGCUCACCAAGGCAAUGAUCUUUAGGGGGCCUGAGAGGGUGAUCCCACACACUGGUACUAAGACACGGACCAGACUCCUACGGGAGGCAGCAGUGAGGAAUAUUGGUCAAUGGGUGCAAGCCUGAACCAGCCAUCCCGCGUGAAGGAUUAAGGUCCUAUGGAUUGUAAACUUCUUUUGUAUAGGGAUAAACCUACCCUCGUGAGGGUAGCUGAAGGUACUAUACGAAUAAGCACCGGCUAACUCCGUGCCAGCCGCCGCCGUAA